Molecule: ribosomal RNA, 281 nt
Filed under: uncultured bacterium
Lineage: Bacteria
Description: partial 16S ribosomal RNA
Rfam family: Bacterial small subunit ribosomal RNA
Source: RNAcentral
CAACGGAACAAUUUUUACUUUAGUGGCGGACGGGUGAGUAACGCGUGGGUAACCUGCCUUAUACAGGGGGAUAACACUUAGAAAUAGGUGCUAAGACCGCACAAGCGCCCAGGGCCGCAUGGCCCAGGGUGAAAAACUCCGGUGGUAUAAGAUGGGCCCGCGUCUGUUUAGCCAGUUGGCAGGGUAACGGCCUACCAAAGCGACGAUCAGUAGCCGGCCUGAGAGGGUGGACGGCCACAUUGGGACUGAGACACGGCCCAAACUCCUACGGGAGGCAGCAG